Molecule: ribosomal RNA, 253 nt
Filed under: uncultured bacterium
Lineage: Bacteria
Description: partial 16S ribosomal RNA
Rfam family: Bacterial small subunit ribosomal RNA
Source: RNAcentral
UACGGGGGGGGCAAGCGUUGUUCGGAAUUACUGGGCGUAAAGGGCUCGUAGGUGGCCAACUAAGUCAGACGUGAAAUCCCUCAGCUUAACUGGGGAACUGCGUCUGAUACUGGAUGGCUUGAGAUUGGGAGAGGGACGCGGAAUUCCAGGUGUAGCGGUGAAAUGCGUGGAUAUCUGGAGGAACACCGGUGGCGAAGGCGGCGUCCUGGACCAACACUGACACUGAGGCGCGAAAGCUAGGGGAGCAAACGGG